UUGAACGCUGGCGGCAGGCCUAACCCAUGCAAGUCGAGCGGAUGAAGGGAGCUUGCUCCUGGAUUCAGCGGCGGACGGGUGAGUAAUGCCUAGGAAUCUGCCUGGUAGUGGGGGAUAACGUCCGGAAACGGGCGCUAAUACCGCAUACGUCCUGAGGGAGAAAGUGGGGGAUCUUCGGACCUCACGCUAUCAGAUGAGCCUAGGUCGGAUUAGCUAGUUGGUGGGGUAAGGGCCUACCAAGGCGACGAUCCGUAACUGGUCUGAGAGGAUGAUCAGUCACACUGGAACUGAGACACGGUCCAGACUCCUACGGGAGGCAGCAGUGGGGAAUAUUGGACAAUGGGCGAAAGCCUGAUCCAGCCAUGCCGCGUGUGUGAAGAAGGUCUUCGGAUUGUAAAGCACUUUAAGUUGGGAGGAAGGGCAGUAAGUUAAUACCUUGCUGUUUUGACGUUACCAACAGAAUAAGCACCGGCUAACUUCGUG
RNAcentral lists this ribosomal RNA (483 nucleotides) under uncultured bacterium. Its description in RNAcentral is "partial 16S ribosomal RNA". It matches the Rfam family "Bacterial small subunit ribosomal RNA", at positions 30 to 507 of the family's 1533-position model. The record is from RNAcentral.